AGGGAGCGCCCUGGGAAGCGCAGGUGGAGGCGCCCAGGGCCCCCCGUCCUUCCCGCUCCCAGCAGAUGGGAGCUCGCAGGGCUGGGGGCUCCUGCUGCCGCUGCGGCUGGUCAAUGCGCCCUCUCCUGGCGCAGGAUUAAUAUGAAAAAGGAGGGGAUAUUAUGCCCUCCAGCUCUUUUGACUGUCACCCAGCGUUACUCACUGGCCUGGAAUAGAGAUGUUUGGAAGAGGGACCCGAGCCUGGCCUUAUCUCUUGAGGCAGGAUUACAAGCCAUUCAUGUUCAAGGACAGAUUCAGGUAACAAACAGGGCUGGUGGAACAGAAUUGGGCAGCCUCCUAGUGUCAACAUCUGCUGCCUGAGCUGCAUGGAAACUAGUGCUAAAGUCACAUUGUGUCUACAAGAUUCUUUAAAUCUCCAUCUUUUCCUGUUUCUCUGCCAACUUAAUUCUGUGAAUGCUUGGAAAUGCUGGUGAGUGGGGGAAGCAGCAGUCUCCAGUCUAACUGGGGUUUUCUCCUGCUGCUGGCUCUGUGGAAGAGAUUUUAAGGUUAGUUUGAAAAUAGCUUUGCCUAGAAAGAGCAGGGUUCAGGAGGAUGGCAUUAACUAAUGUGCACAGGCCAGAGAUUUGCAGCCAGAUGCUCCUGCAGGCAGCUUGUAUCUGGUGGUUCAGCUGAACCAUGGCAUGUAGAAAGAUCUCCUGUUUGGAGUGAGAAUCUCAUACAAUCAGCAGUGCCAAAGAGCAAUUACCCUUUCCCUGUUAAAACUAAGUGUCCUGUUUACUGUUUGAACUGGCUGACUUGAAAUUCUAACUUUAGUCUGUGCUUUUAAAAGGUCUUGAAUACUGUGCAGGCUUUAACAAGUCUCGAUGAUGACCCUAGAAUGCUGUUUGGUAAAUAGGAUUAUUCUUGCUUCUGCAAAGAGGGCACAAGAGGUGAGGGGAUGUGGCUGUCCAUCUCCGUCCCUGUGUUGGCGUUCCUGGCUUCUGCUGCCAUGCUUGAAGAAUGUGAGAACUUUGUGCCUCUCCUCACAAUGGCGCUGCUUGUCCUUGAGUUACCAGUCUGAUUUAUUAGAGGAAACUGAAUCAGCACAUGGUGCUCACCUAUGUAGGCUACUGCUGCUUCUCCUACACAGUAGGUGUGAGCUUGGAAAAUAGUUUGGAGGAGAAGCAUAAAGUGGACUUUGUUGAAAUGCACCAACUCACCUGGAGUUUCCAGAACCUGUGAGUGUAUUUGGCAAGCAAAAUAUCCCAACUUUUAACUUGUAGUAUUUGGAAGCACAGCAUGGUUAUGUGAGCAUGCCCUCAUGAGGCUGGGAGAUGGAAAUGGCAUUUGGGGUAGUGUGUGGAGCGAGGGGAGUCUUUGGAACCAGCAAUAGAUGAAAUUAUAUCAAAGCAUAAGUGGUGGUCAUACUGCUUGCGCAAAGGUUUUUAGGUUUUGUAUUGGCUCUCCCUAAUUAUUUCCAAGGUUAUAAAUCCAAUCAGGAUACUGAAAGGGGCUCACCCAAGAGCAAGAACUGUGAUUUAGUGUUCUUCCUAGUACCUUCAAUUAUUAAUCAAACAUGUUUAAAAUAUUGGCUGAUGCCACUUUUUAUUUCUAAUCUUCUGUUCCCAGUGAUCAGAAGGUAUCUUGGUAUGCAGGGUUUCAGCAUUUCUGAGAGUUCUUAUGCUAAAUCAGCUCUUUACUCAUUUAUUUCUUCCCUUACUCUUUAAAUGUUAGCAGUUGUGACAAAGCCUGCUGUUGACUGUUGGAUUGGAUUCUAAAUACUGACUCACAUCCAAAUUUUGCAAUUGGUUCCAUUUGUUACAAUGGGUGGAACUAAUUCUCUGGAUCCAAGUGCAAUUAGAUGAAUCUAGAUCAUAAUUCUGGCCAUUGCAACCAAAAAUUAUGAAGUUUAUUUUGCUUUAUCUUGUUCUAUUGAAUAACAGUAGUCCAGUACUAGCCUUUUCUGUUCAAAAUCUAUUAUGAGCCACCUCAAAGGUGAUUGAAGCCUGUAAAGAAAGAGCACGACCACCUAUGAGGCAACAGCAUGUCUUCACAAGUUUGCGGAACCAAAGUGGUGGAGGAAGGUGGAAAUAAAUGCCUUGGAGAAGUUGCAAACAAUCCUCUUUUAUUUUUUUGCCUAAUAUCCUGUCUUUUGUAUUUUAACCCACAUCAGAUUGUUUUGAUUAGCAGCUUUGACUCUUGCCGUUGUGAAGUGCACAGCAAUGGUCUAGAGGAAAAAUGCACAAAACAGUUUCACCAUUGCUUUGUCCUGCUAGUGUGAUGCAGGACCUGUGUAUAGUACCUCAUCAGCAUUGGAAAGACACUGGGACUAGUAAUUCUAUGCUGGUGUGGAGAGAACAAAUGGCUUCUCAUUCUCUGUAAUGACUACUGAGAGAUGCUCCUCUGUCAACAACUCCAGUACAAAGCAGAGAACAAUGCUGCUGCCUCUGUAGUAUGGAAGAGAACUCUGUUUCAGUAGCAUCACUCUGUUCCAGU
This is a long non-coding RNA of Pezoporus flaviventris, 2475 nucleotides long. RefSeq lists it as uncharacterized. NCBI's taxonomy places the organism in Eukaryota, Metazoa, Chordata, Aves, Psittaciformes, Psittacidae. The record is from RefSeq and is a predicted model, not a curated record. The transcript is spliced from 3 exons.